This 468-nucleotide ribosomal RNA is filed under the name uncultured bacterium. RNAcentral describes it as "partial 16S ribosomal RNA". It matches the Rfam family "Bacterial small subunit ribosomal RNA", at positions 28 to 507 of the family's 1533-position model. The record is from RNAcentral.
GACGAACGCUGGCGGCGUGCUUAACACAUGCAAGUCGAACGGAAAGGCCCUGCUUUUGUGGGUUGCUCGAGUGGCGAACGGGUGAGUAACACGUGAGUAACCUGCCCUUGACUUUGGGAUAACUUCAGGAAACUGGGGCUAAUACCGGAUAGGAGCUCCUGCUGCAUGGUGUGGGUUGGAAAGUUUCGGCGGUUGGGGAUGGACUCGCGGCUUAUCAGCUUGUUGGUGGGGUAGUUGCUUACCAAGGCUUUGACGGGUAGCCGGCCUGAGAGGGUGACCGGCCACAUUGGGACUGAGAGACGGACCAGAAUCGUACGGGAGGCAGCAGUGGGGAAUAUUGCACAAUGGGCGGAAGCCUGAUGCAGAAACGCCGCGUGCGGGAUGACGGCCUUCGGGUUGUAAACCGAUUUCGCAGGUGACGAAGAGUGAGUGACGGUAAUGGGUAAAGAAGCACCGGCUAACUACGUG